Long non-coding RNA from Phacochoerus africanus (Common warthog), 588 nucleotides. RefSeq lists it as uncharacterized. NCBI's taxonomy places the organism in Eukaryota, Metazoa, Chordata, Mammalia, Artiodactyla, Suidae. The record is from RefSeq and is a predicted model, not a curated record. The transcript has 2 exons.
GGGAGCGCAGUUCGGUGCGGGGUCUCUGCACCCCACACAGCCUCGCCACCGGAAACCGCAGUUUCCUUCAGAGCCCCUCCGUACAGCCCCCAGCGGCUCCCCACUCGGGCACCCCCACUCCCCUGGCCCUGGAACUACUUCUGUAAAAACUCUGAGCCGCCCGCGUCUAGGCAGAGGAGGGCAGGAUGGGGGGAGGCGAGGCAAAAUCGAUACGCCAGGUCCUUAACCUGUAAUUGCACCUUCUAGGGCUGAGCAGAAAGGGACCCUCUGCCCACAUCCCGCCCGUGCGCCCGCCGGCCGGGGAGAGCUGCCGCCGCCGCCGCCCAGCUCAGAGGGAUCCCGCCGGACCUGCCCCUUCCACUGCGGCUCACUCUGCCCUCCCUGGCGCCAGUCCUGGAUCGCCGGCUUCCUAUUUACACCGGACUGGGCUCCACUCGACUCACUUUAUCAUCCCAUUCCAGGCUGGCGACUUCGCUGCUGAGCUGAAACUGCUAAUUUCUGUGACCAGCUUUUUUCUUAGCUGUGAUCUGGAUGAAUGAGUAGCUGUCUCACAGAGAUGACAAAAAUAAACUCUAAUCCCCCCCAAAA